This 2488-nucleotide long non-coding RNA is filed under the name Olea europaea subsp. europaea. The record is from RNAcentral. Lineage: Eukaryota; Viridiplantae; Streptophyta; Magnoliopsida; Lamiales; Oleaceae.
GAUUCAAUUUCACCACUACCUACGAGCAUCCCAGCCUAGCUCUUAUGCAAAUCCAAUCCAAUAUAUCUGAUUCUGUUGUCUCUCACCAAUUGCACAUUCACUUGAAUUGGAGCUGACGUUCUACGAGACAAACGGACAUUACGAAGCACGGACGGCAACUUUGAAUCUUUCAUCCAGCUUCUCACUCUUGUCAUUCUGAAACCUCGACGAGACACAUCAGUGCCGCCUUUGGUCUUCCUCCCAUUGACACGAUCAGCGAUUGAAAGGGCAGGCAGCAAUGAUUCAUUUUUGGAAGAAGAAAGAAGGUGAACCAGAACCACUGAAUAGGUGAAGGCGGGAGCCGAAAGCCUUCUCGUUGAAUUUUUCUUUUUAUUUGUUAUUUUGAUUUGAUUUGUACCUAGAAUGAAGACAAGUCACGUAUUAGUUUUAUGAUUCUUAUAAAAUUCAUUUGUUGAAUUGUAAGUAGAAGAACUCAGUCUCAGAAGCUCCUUGAGCAGUGGAGCCUCAAGCCUGGAGUUAAUACCUAAUUGGAUGUCGUCCCUACCCUCCGAGGUGAACUUAAUUGGAUGUUUUACUCAGGUUAGAUAUAAGUUGAUAAUUUAAAAUCGUGUAUUAGUUAUAAGUUUUGUCAAUUGCAUUCUGCAUAUAGGUUGUGAUUUGUGAAUUUAAAUUGAAAGUUGUGUUAAGGCCGAGAGUAUUCUGCUUAAUUUUAGGCAUAGGCUGAUUUAGGAUUCACUUGCUUUUGCUUCCAGCUACCCUUCCCUUUUUUUUUUUUUUUUAGCUUUCAAUUACUUGAUAAUAGCGUUAUUGUACAAUAACAUCAAAGUAUGAAAACUUGCAAGAAGCAUGUUUGAUUAUAAACUGUCAUUUUUAGUGUUACCGCGGUUUGGUUUAUAGUUUUAUCACCACUAAAUUCAUGAUCAAAACUCAAUGUUCGACGUGGGUUAAAUUAUGCUUACACUGAACAAAUUUCCUGGCUCUAUCCGUGCUGGUGAGUCUCACAUCCCAUCAAUUGCAGUGGUAAAGUGCUACCAAUCUUUUGUCUUACUGGUUUUCUUGCUCUUUCUAAUCAUUCGAACUUGUUUCUGUGUUUUAUUCCAACUUGCUAACCUCUAAGGUUGUUAGCUCGAGGCAAUGGCCAUCAAUCUCUUGUUACCAAGCAUGUGUUCUCACCAUCUCCUAAGGUUGAAAUAAUUGAUUCUCUAUAUAAGCAUGUAUCAAACACUGUGGAUGAUGGCAUAAUUAGGUGAGUUUAUUGUCUUCAGACGGCACAAUUAAGCCAAUCCCUGGCUUGAGCAUUUCUUCCUUGUAACUAUUUGCUAUGAAAUUGUAGUACACACUACACAAAUUCGAUAGGAGAUACUUGCUGGUCUUUGUGUGAAGCGUCCAAUUCCAAGAUGUCUUAGGUACCUUGUAAAACAUUUCUUCCAAUCUUAGAGGCAACAGUGACAUUGUGCUGCAUUGCUUUACAGUGGGUUAGAAAAAAUAUGCAUAGGCUCAAUAUAGUUAUCGAAGAUACAUAUACUUUUAGCUGAUAAAUAAGUAUUACAUACAUUUGUUGAGCCUUUUGAACCUAUUAAAUAUUGAAAACGACUUUUUCAUGCACAAUAUUUUACUUUCCCUUUUAAAUCACGUCAUAUGUUGUGCCCAAAAACUUUUGCAGUUUAAUAUGGACACCAACUUAGGAUUCUUUUCUCGAAAUUCCAAAGAAACCCAGAACAUUGAGCCAAAAGGGAAUUUACGCUGGAUUACUAAGCUUUUGAUGGUGGAAUUAUAAUUGGGAAUGAAUGAGAAAUUGAUAAAAUGAAUAUUGAAAAGGUUUGUAAUCUUGAGAACAGAGGAAGAAACCCAUGACCUGCACAAUAACCUUGAGCAUGCUGUGGUAGAUGCUGAAAACUCUAAACAGAGAGCAUUCGAAGAAUCAGUGAGGUAGUGGAGAGCCUAAGAAGAUGUCUAGAUUUUUUUUCACAAAAUAUUUUGUUGUGUCCACUUCUCCUUCUGAGAAUCUAUUUUUUGUAGGGAGAAUGCAAUCUUUCCUUCAAUUAAAUAGUUGUGAAAGAUGAUGACAGGAAUUCGGUAAGUUUUUCUUUUGUUCUUAGUUUUGUAAAAUUUUCUAUAUAUAUAUAUUUUUAAAUUUCUAUGGUUUUUGGAUUUUGAUUUGAAGGGGCAUGACUACAUCAACAGCUUCAAGGGUUGUACCUUUGGCCAUCUGGUCUACCUUCUGCAAUCACCAUUUAACCCACUUCUUCAAUUGCACAGACUCUCUGGGAGUCACUUCCACAUGUUGUUUCUUUCAUCACUCCAUUAUUCCUCCACCAAGUCAACCUUCAAAGAGUUAUUUACGCGAGGCAUGGAGUCACGACAAGAUGAGGAGAAGCUUCAAUUUUUACACUUUUUGCUUGAUAGCUGUUAAUGAAUGCUUAGCAUGUAUUCGAUGAAAUGACUAUUAUUAUUUCCUUCGUUCCAUAGUUUAAGAAGGCUCCAAAGG